CGGAGUGUAGCGCAGCCUGGUAGCGCACCUGAUUUGGGAUCAGGGGGUCGCAGGUUCGAGUCCUGCCACUCCGA
This 74-nucleotide transfer RNA is filed under the name Mesorhizobium sp. Root157. It matches the Rfam family "tRNA". From Rfam's summary of the family: Transfer RNA (tRNA) molecules are approximately 80 nucleotides in length. Their secondary structure includes four short double-helical elements and three loops (D, anti-codon, and T loops). Lineage: Bacteria; Pseudomonadati; Pseudomonadota; Alphaproteobacteria; Hyphomicrobiales; Phyllobacteriaceae. The record is from Rfam by way of RNAcentral.